GGUAGCGCAAUCACUUGUCUUUUAAAUGAAGACCUGUAUGAAUGGUGAAACGAGGGCUUAACUGUCUCCCCUUUCAGGUCAAUGAAAUUGAUCUGCCCGUGCAGAAGCGGACAUACUUAUACAAGACGAGAAGACCCUUUGGAGCUUUAGGCAAAAGGUUAACUGUAUAAAUACCCUUAACUAACAUGGUUAAACAAAACAGCAACAUUUAAACUCUUUAAGCCUUCGGUUGGGGCGACCGUGGGGGAAAGCAAAGCCCCCAUGAGGAACGGGAAAUUCCUUAAACUAAGAGGGACACCUCUAAGUCACAGAACAUCUGACCACACAGAUCCGGCAACCAAGCCGAUUAACGAACCAAGUUACCCUAGGGAUAACAGCGCAAUCCCCUCCAAGAGUUCUUAUCGACAAGGGGGUUUACGACCUCGAUGUUGGAUCAGGACAUCCUAAUGGUGCAGCCGCUAUUAAGGGUUCGUUUGUUCAACGAUUAA
This 488-nucleotide ribosomal RNA is filed under the name Acestrorhynchus microlepis (pike characin). RNAcentral's name for it is "partial 16S large subunit ribosomal RNA". It matches the Rfam family "Bacterial large subunit ribosomal RNA", at positions 1955 to 2591 of the family's 2925-position model. Lineage: Eukaryota; Metazoa; Chordata; Actinopteri; Characiformes; Acestrorhynchidae. The record is from RNAcentral.